GCAGAAGAAAACCAUCAUCUCCAAACUUGGUGAAUAUCUCAUAAUGAUGCCGGUCCAUGUUUCCUGGAGAGUGAAUGAGUGAAAAGGGGAUUAUACUGUAACUUCCUGCACUCAAACUCUGAGGAGCAAACAUUAACAUGUCUUAUACAUGGAGGUUUCCACGUCUCAUCCUACAGAAAGACAUCUGGCAUCAGGUUUCAUUGAAUCACCCCAAAAGAGACUGACUACAGUGGCCUUCACCUGAACUAGUCAGGAAACUGUUGUGUAUCCUUUCUCCACGAUCACAGCUUUAUUUCCAAUAUCUAUGUUCCGGUCUGAAGUAUUCAACUCUUUACAGACACAAUUUCUGGAGGGGAGGAUGUGAUGCAAGUUAACUGGAAGGGGAGUGUGUGAUAUCAGAAAAACACCACUGGUCGCAGGUCUUUGGCAACACGGCAAUGCCACAACUAUUAUCCCGGAACGGCUCAGAGGAUGUCCUAAUACACAGGACUUACCGGUCUAAGUGGAAGGCAGCGAUCUCAGCAUUGUGUCUCUGGUAGUCCACAAAAUAGAAGACGUCUUCUUGGGUU
Long non-coding RNA from Pseudophryne corroboree (corroboree frog), 569 nucleotides. RefSeq lists it as uncharacterized. Lineage: Eukaryota; Metazoa; Chordata; Amphibia; Anura; Myobatrachidae. The transcript has 5 exons. The record is from RefSeq and is a predicted model, not a curated record.